GAUGAACAGAGGUCAAAACCUCAAAGAAAGUCAACGUGAUCCUCAUCCAUGGUGGAUGAGACCAAAACCCCAAAGAAAGUCAGUGUGAUCCUCAUCCAUGAUGGACGAGACCAAAACCCCAAAGGAAGUCAAUGUGAUCCUCAUCCAUGGGGGAAAGGACCAAACACCCAAAGAAAGUCAACGUGAUCCUCAUCCAUGAUGGAUGAGACCAAAACCCCAAAGAAAGUCAACGUGAUCCCCAUCCAUGAUGGAUGAGACCAAAACCCCAAAGAAAGUCAACAUGAUCCCCAUCCAUGAUGAAGUCAAAACCCCAAAGAAAGUCAGUGUGAUCCAUUGCCAUGAUGGACAAAAACAAAUCCCAAAGAAAGUCAAUAUGACCCUUAACUAUCCUGGACAAGACCAAAAUCCUAAAGAAAGUUAAUGUGAUCCCCCAGCCACGAUGGAGAAGACAAAAACUCCAACGAAAAUCAACGUGAUUCUCAACCCUCCAAAGCAGCCGCCACAGUCAGGCACUUCCCCUUUCCCACAAAUGUUCUACCAGACAUUAAAAAAAUAGAAAACGGAACGACUUCUCAUCCGUUUCCCCACUGUCAGGACAUGAAAAGAGCAACCCCACCGCUCUAAGGAUGAGCAACGUGCUACAGAUGGCACAACGGCCAAGGCAACACCGAAGCACAAAUGCACAGAGCUGUGAAAGAUGACACAAAUCAUCCAGCCAGCAGUGAGGCCAGCACCUCAAAGACAGAAGCACACCAUGCCAAAAGGUCUCAAAUUCUGGAAAUAGUGAAGCGCGCUCGAGAUGGGGGGAGCAGAGACCCAAAUCUUGAAGGUAUGCACAGAAAAUGUUUCUGCACGUCAUCAAAAUUAGCAGCAGAUGCAAAAGAGCUCUUCCUGUGCAUGCUUAGGGUGGGGAUUUUGUGCUCUGUGGUGGUUAUUUAUGGUUCCCAAUCCUAAACAGCUCAGGAAACAGUGGGAGCCCCGUGGCCACAGCGUGGCCUAAUAAGAAGGGGGAGGAGGAAUAAAGGGAAGAAGUUCAAAAGAAAAAAAAAAAAAGGGGGGGGACACAAACUAAAAAAGGGGAGAACAGGGGGAAAAUAAAAAAGAG
Molecule: long non-coding RNA, 1105 nt
Organism: Lagopus muta (rock ptarmigan)
Lineage: Eukaryota; Metazoa; Chordata; Aves; Galliformes; Phasianidae
Exons: 2
Source: RefSeq, a predicted model, not a curated record